AGAAUGAACUGUGAGAAGAGUUAAAAGCAAACUUGACCUGUGCUCAGCCCCGGACAUUAGGGGGGUGUUUGUUACAGCCGUCAGCCUGCCUUGACUAACAAACACAGCUGCAGUGAGUUGAGAGUCAUUUCUGUGAGUGGAGGUAAAGCCUGGGGGCCGUAGGCCGCUCAGGCGGAGUCCAGCCUGGGAGGAGAGGCCGAGGAUGGAGCCAGGAACGCCUGGCUGAAGGAGGCGCUGCAAAAGAGCCAGCCACAGACAGGUGAAGAGGAGCAGUCAGAGAAACAUUUCCCUGUGAGAUGUGGUUCUGAGAGAGGAGAUUGGAAAUGCGGGAAGUGUAACGUGCGAGCCUCUGUGACCUGGGCCUGGCAACACACACCUGGUGAUUUCAUGUGGACAACAUAGUGGAUCACUCAAAGGAGUAACAGAGGAGGUUUGAAGAUAACAUAUAACCAGAAAGAAACUAGAGGCCAGUCGGCUUCUUAAGAGAUACCCAUGGUCUUCUAUAGCCCAGAUGAACUUUGAAUCGUGCCUCAACUCCGCCUUCAGGAAUUACUACGCAUAAAAUAGUAACACAGCAAACCAUGGCACUGCGCGUUCUCCAUCAGCUGGAAGGACUUGUGUUCAUCCUCCCUCGCUCUCCAGCCUGGCCGUUCUUUGUGCUGAGAGCAUGUGACAGUUCUAAGAGAGGGCCCCUGGUAGAGGUUAAGAUCUUGAAUAUGAAACAUUUUCUUGUGUGCAGUCCCCACCUGUCCUGAGUAGCAAUUACUAUUAUUAUUAUAUGAUUGCCAACAAUGAUUACACAUGUAAUUGUAUACAGAUCUAUCAUUACAUAGAUAAUUUGUACGGCAUUUACAGUUUUUUCAAAGCAACGUCCGUACAUAUCAUUUGCUUCCCACAGCAGCCCUGUGAUGUGGGAAGUCGGGUUAUCUUCAAAUAUCCGGAUGAGGAAGUCAAUGUCCAGAGACAAAGUGACGAGCAGAAGCCCGGGAACAAACCCAGGGGCCUGACUUCUGGUUCUGGGCUUUUCUAAGACUCUCUUUUGUUUUCCAAAACUCCAGUCUUCCGAAACUAUGUACUUCCCUUGUCGACUUAUUCGUGCGUUCAUUUCAUGAAUGGUUUUGAGCUCCAGGCACCUGUCUUCCUCUUGGAUAGACAGCAGUGAAAAAUCAAAGCCCACACCAGCUCUUUCUGUCCAUAGGAUCAGGCCCUGUGAGGGCCACCGCUGUGGUGAAGGGCACAGACGCUGGGGCCAGUCUGUGAGGAUUAAAUGACUCGAUAUUCAUAGGUGCCUGGAUCCUACCUGGUACACAGUAAGCCCUGCACAAGUGUUAGUCACGAUGGUAGCCUCCUUUGUGGGGAGGCUGAAAAAACAAAUGUGUGCCAAGAUGAUAAAAAGCUUUAGAACGCUUUGCAGCAAAUUUUGGGUGACGACUUUACGCUUAUUUCUUUCUGGUCUUUUCUUCUUGCAGUAACUACUUAUUUUCUCUUCCCCCAUACCCUUAAUAUAACAUUAUAAACAUCUCAUGGCCAAUUUAAAAAGCUAUGCAUUUGGGCUUCUCUUCCAGAGCUAUCUGCAGCUUUGCUCAGAUCUCAUUGUGUGCUUAAUGUAACAUUUAAAGUUAGUACCUGUCAAGGUAAGAUAAAACAGGAGUCUUUGUGUAUAUAGGUUUGCAUACUGGGGACUUUCACAGUGUCAGCGACAUAGCCUGUGCCUCUGUUUUGACAAGUGGUGGUUUGAACAUUCAAGGCUGAAACCCUCCAGUUACAUCUCAGAAACAGCCUGACUCCCCUGCUCCCCCAGAACCAUUAAAGUUUGCUGUGCUCUACAGGUCCCACCCUGUCUCCUGACUCCCCACUCAUACCAGAGCACGGAUAGAAUUGAUAUUCUUUGUGUUCCUUCCAGAAAGUUUCCUCACAGCUCUGCCAAGGCAGAUCAAUUACCUGUAUUACUUUUAUUAUUUAAAUUCUAAAUUUCUUCUUAGGAGAGUCUGCCUUCUGCCAUGAAUGAGGGGCUUGUGGGAGUGUAAAGCUUUCCAUCUUAACCCAGUGCUUCUCAAGAGGAGGGUUUGUGCAUUGAUCCAUGGCUAGGUUAACCAUAUGUCCUGAUUUGUCAGGUUAAUCAUAGUUUAUGUUUGGUGUCCUGGUAUAAUUAUUAAUAGUCUUUCAUGCUUAAAAGUAUCCUGGCUUGCGGGGCAGCCAGGUGGCACAGUUGGUUAGAGCACAAGCUCUCAGCAACAGGGUUGCCGGUUCGAUUCCCACAUGCAAUGGUGGUCUGUACCCCCUGAAAAUGGCGACUGGACUUAGAGCUGAGCUGCGCCCUCCACAACUAAG
Hipposideros armiger (great roundleaf bat) is the source of this 2331-nucleotide long non-coding RNA. RefSeq lists it as uncharacterized. NCBI's taxonomy places the organism in Eukaryota, Metazoa, Chordata, Mammalia, Chiroptera, Hipposideridae. The record is from RefSeq and is a predicted model, not a curated record. The transcript has 3 exons.